GGUCGUUUCUCUUCGGGCCCAACACGAGCCCAAAAGCUUCCCAUCUUCUCCCAGAAGAUUAGCGGCGGGGGAGGCGGCGGCGACCGGCGGCGACAGGGUGGCCGGAUUUGCGGUCCCGUCUCCCUCUCCUGGGCUUCCGCCACCACCCGCGGGCGCUUCUCCUCCACCGGGAAGCCUGCCGUCGCGCGACGGCGACUCCCUUCGACUGUUCGACGCAAUGCCAGGGCAGGCCUGGUGGAGCGGAGGCGGAGCCGCUUCUUCGCUGCUUGAGGCGAGGCGUUCAGGGUGUUCGGCGAAAUGCUCGAGAGUCGCUUGUCCAGUCCUGGUCGGUGGCGACUUCGGCCGUCGAAGAUCUCGUGGGCGGCGACUGUGCUUCCGCUUCGUGAGCUUCUGAAGGACGCAUACCUUUUGGUAAGGAGCAAAAGACUCGUCUCUGUGAAAAGAAACACAGCUUCUGAAGAUUUGCAAGAUCCACUUUGCAGAUACUACAUGCAAAGCAUCAUUCCGAGAGGUGCAUAUAAUUUAGAGCAAUCAUCGGCAUCGUGGUCAUGGUGUGUACAUGCUCUGGAAAACAACAUAGCACGACUGGUGGGUGAUUGGUGCUUGAAGACUUGAAGUAAGCUGCGUAGCGUGUGAGGGCUGCAGGCUGCCAGUGGGAGCUGGCUUAUCAUUUGGGACACCACAGGGGAGACUGGUUCUUGUGUAGACAUGGUCUAUGGACUAUGGAACGGACUGAAGCCACACAGAUCUUCAGGUGCAGCACAAACUGGAGAAAUCCUUCGGCCAGAACAGAAACAGCAUAGGGAACACAAGAUGAUUACAGAAGAUCGGCUGCACAAAGACCAAUUCUAGAAACAGCAUAGAGGCCAUUUCCAGUUCAGACGACUGUAGUGCUGUACUGCUGUGCUGCACGUCGUACACGUCGAAGUCUGAAGAGGAUUGCUGCACUGCAGAUCAAUCAAUGAUUUUCCAAUUUUCGUCAAAACAAGAAACCAAUGAUUUUCCAGGCUCAUGGACACGGUCUACCCAGGCACCCAUCCGUAGACGUGCAAAAUUAUGAAAAACUGAUGGCGAUCUGGCGAUGAAUGAAUGAAUGAUUCGGACCGCCGCUACGUUGUUGCUGCCGACGCGUUCGUUGGCCGUGUGUCCGUGUCUCGGUCUGCAGUCUUCAGUGUCUCAGUCCGAUCGGAAUGAAAUGGAAUGGAGGAGAUGGCGGUGUGAACUGUCCUUGGUAGUGGAGUUGUGGAUUGGCUCGUAUACGACAAAUGUAUUUGGAUAUUUGGCACUUGUUAUCGCUGGAAAAAAUAUAGUCAAGUCGUGUACGAGGAAAACUGCAUGCUACUACCAUACAUACGAAGGAUAUCAAGUUCUUGACAUUUUGAUAUGGAGCAUAGCAAAACUGUUCUAGUUCUCGUUUGAAAUGCGAGAAUGUGUUCACAAAAGGCUGAUUCAUUUUAUUUAAAAUUCACGCAAUAUUCCUCUGUUCGAAGGAAAGGUCUUGUUGUGUUUUUCUUUUUCUUUUUUUUUCUUUUCUAGUGCAGGCUGAUCUGCUGUGCUGAGUGCAGACCGUGGCAGAAGUGAUUUACUUUUCCUUGUAUAAGGGGGUGUUUAAAUCCGGGGUGUAAAGUUUUAGCGUGUCACAUCGAAUAUUAUAUAAGGUAUCGCAUGUGGCAGAGUUUACAUUACCGGUUGACCACUAAAUUUCGAACCCCAUCGGUAUCACCGUUUUCGAUAAAUUUUGAUCGGUUUUUGAU
This 1754-nucleotide non-coding RNA is filed under the name Oryza sativa Indica Group (long-grained rice). The record is from RNAcentral. Lineage: Eukaryota; Viridiplantae; Streptophyta; Magnoliopsida; Poales; Poaceae.